GAUGAACGCUAGCGGGAGGCUUAACACAUGCAAGUCGAGGGGCAGCAUAGGGUAGCAAUACUCUGAUGGCGACCGGCAAACGGGUGAGUAACGCGUAUGCAACCUACCCUGUACAGGGGGAUAAACCCGGAGAAAUUCGGACUAAUAUCCCGUAAUAAUAUCCGGAGGCAUCUUUGGAUAUUUAAACGUUUCGACGGUACGGGAUGGGCAUGCGUAACAUUAGCUGGUUGGUAAGGUAACGGCUUACCAAGGCUAUGAUGUUUAGGGGUCCUGAGAGGGUGGUCCCCCACACUGGUACUGAGACACGGACCAGACUCCUACGGGAGGCAGCAGUGAGGAAUAUUGGUCAAUGGGCGCAAGCCUGAACCAGCCAUCCCGCGUGCAGGAAGACGGCCCUAUGGGUUGUAAACUGCUUUUCCAGGGAGAGAAACUUACGCACGUGUUGCGUGACUGACGGUACCCUGGGAAUAAGCAUCGGCUAACUCCGUG
RNAcentral lists this ribosomal RNA (489 nucleotides) under uncultured bacterium. RNAcentral describes it as "bacterial SSU rRNA". It matches the Rfam family "Bacterial small subunit ribosomal RNA", at positions 28 to 507 of the family's 1533-position model. The record is from RNAcentral.